This is a long non-coding RNA of Cyprinus carpio (common carp), 1515 nucleotides long. RefSeq lists it as uncharacterized. Lineage: Eukaryota; Metazoa; Chordata; Actinopteri; Cypriniformes; Cyprinidae. The record is from RefSeq and is a predicted model, not a curated record. The transcript is spliced from 4 exons.
GAGGGUAUAGGAUGUUGUGGCUAAUAUGGUUCAGAGCCCUCUUAACGACUGUCUUGUUUUGGAAGGAAGUAAAAGUUGUAAUUUACAAUCCUGACAUCACCCAGAUGGUAUUUCAAAGGCCAGAUCUUUUUACUGUAAACCAGGCAGGUGUGUUGAGGCAAGUUGGAGCUAAACUCUGCAGGACACCGGCCCUCGAGGAUCAAGUUUGAUGAACCCUGGUCACUGCAGUCACCCAGAUCCAAUAUGUAUCCUGCCCAGAUUGUGGAUCAGCACCUAGAGAUGACCUCUACAGCCCUGAAUGUCAGCAGAGAUCAGGACAACUAGAUGAGCCCCAGAGACAACCUGCUGGUUCGUCUGGCCAGAGGAGAACUAGCCCCCCAACUGAGUCUGGUUUCUCCCAAGGUUUUUCUCCAUUCUGUCAUCAAUGGAGUUUUGGUUCCUUGCCGCUGUCGUCUCUGGCUUGCUUAAGUUGGGGACGCUUAAUUUCCAGCGAUAUCAUCAACUUGAUUGCACAGAUACUAUUUAAACUAAACUGGGCUUGCUGAUGACAUCACUGAAUUCUAUAAGCUGCCUUUAACUGAAUAUGUUGUGUUUACUAUUGUCCUUUUGCAUUAUUGACACUAUUUUCCUAUUUAAUACUGUAAAGCUGCUUUAACGCAAUCUGUAUUGUUAAAAGCACUAUGUAAAUAAAGGUGACUUGACAUGACUUGUUGUAUUUGCUAUGAUUACAAGAUUCCAACCUGGAAAAAGCAUUCAUGUCCUUGUAGAACUCAUAAUUACCAUCUGUAAUCUGGGAAUUUUCUGAGAGCUUCUACUUGUACUAGGUGACCACUGUUGCAGAUUAAUUUAGGCGUUGAUGGUGUUGCCAUAGAAAUGCACAGUUCCUGAUCCAAGGACCUGAACAGCUCUAAGUAGAACAUAGUGUGAACGCAGCAUAUGAACUUGAAUUUUUGACAACAGCAUUAUCUAACUGACUUGAUAAUGUCUUUGUCGAUCUGUUUCUUCCUCUGUUAGGAUGCAGCUAACAAGAAAGACUCCAGUAAGAAUCCUCAGCAUUGAUCAAGAAAGUCCACAGCUAAACCCAUCUAGAGUGGGAAUCAUCUUGGAAGAAAAUUUUGUAAUGGAUGAACUGACCGAUCUCAGGCCUUCUAUUUUUUUAUUUUUUAUUUUUUUCAGACUGAUUUAUGCCCUGCACCUGGACUAGGUGUAUGAAAAGCUCUUUAUAUUUUAUUCAGUAGGUAAUGCUCAACCUCGGAAAAAGUGAGUUUGCACCUAUAAUUCAGUACUGCCAAUAUUGUAAACUCAAGAGUGGAAUAAAACCAUAUAGUUCUGAUGCUGUUUGUUGUAAUUCUGAGAUAGACUGUUUUAUGUUAGUUUGUUAAACAUUUUUUUUUUCAUGUUUUAUGGGGAAAUGUUUUCAGAUGAAAAAUGCAUUUUUUGUUAUGUUUAUAAAUUAACAUUUUUUAAUUGAAUUAAAAUAAAACAGAAAAUUGCAUAAAUGUUCCUUUAUUUGUU